RNAcentral lists this transfer RNA (63 nucleotides) under Kolla paulula. RNAcentral's name for it is "tRNA-Asp". The record is from RNAcentral. Lineage: Eukaryota; Metazoa; Arthropoda; Insecta; Hemiptera; Cicadellidae.
AAGAAGCUAGUUUAAGAAAAACAUUAACCUGUCAGAUUAAAAAUACUCCUUCAGUGUUUCUUU